This 495-nucleotide ribosomal RNA is filed under the name uncultured bacterium. Its description in RNAcentral is "partial 16S ribosomal RNA". It matches the Rfam family "Bacterial small subunit ribosomal RNA", at positions 28 to 507 of the family's 1533-position model. The record is from RNAcentral.
GACGAACGCUGGCGGCGUGCCUAAUACAUGCAAGUAGAACGCCGAAGGAGGAGCUUGCUCUUCUGGAUGAGUUGCGAACGGGUGAGUAACGCGUAGGUAACCUGCCUGGUAGCGGGGGAUAACUAUUGGAAACGAUAGCUAAUACCGCAUAACAGUAGAUGUUGCAUGACAUUUGCUUAAAAGAUGCAAUUGCACCACUACCAGAUGGACCUGCGUUGUAUUAGCUAGUUGGUGGGGUAACGGCUCACCAAGGCGACGAUACAUAGCCGACCUGAGAGGGUGAUCGGCCACACUGGGACUGAGACACGGCCCAGACUCCUACGGGAGGCAGCAGUAGGGAAUCUUCGGCAAUGGACGGAAGUCUGACCGAGCAACGCCGCGUGAGUGAAGAAGGUUUUCGGAUCGUAAAGCUCUGUUGUAAGAGAAGAACGAGUGUGAGAGUGGAAAGUUCACACUGUGACGGUAUCUUACCAGAAAGGGACGGCUAACUACGUG